Orcinus orca (killer whale) is the source of this 1196-nucleotide long non-coding RNA. RefSeq lists it as uncharacterized. NCBI's taxonomy places the organism in Eukaryota, Metazoa, Chordata, Mammalia, Artiodactyla, Delphinidae. The transcript is spliced from 3 exons. The record is from RefSeq and is a predicted model, not a curated record.
AUUCCAAGCAGCCAUGCGGACACCCCUCACCUCUAAGCUUCUGAAAAUUUGAGGGGUAAAGGAAUCGCAAGCCCUCCCCACAUCUGUCUGGCUGACAUCGUGGCUGCAUUAACGAGAUGCAGAGGAAGAACUGCAGAAUUUGACCAGGAACCCCCAUCUAUUUUUGACAGAAUAUUAUCAUUUUUAUGGUUUAAACAAGCACAGAACUUCCUCUAAAAGAAUUGGCCUAAAGGAGAAAUAAGUCCCAGCAUCUGAAAUGAUACUGCUAUGCAAAGAAAACACCCCUUCUGAAAAACUAGAGAAAACACCUCUCUAUGAAAUGCAUUUGCCACAAGAAAUAACAAGUUUUUAGAAAACGGGUGAUCCAUGGACUUAAAUUUCAAGUGGGUAUUGCAUUUAUUAAUCCCAUUAAGCAGUUCUGAGAAGAAAAUCAUCUCUGAGCAAGAGAGAUGGGCAUUGAAAAACGUUCCUGGAUUCACCUAUCUUGACUUCUUUGUACCACGCAUCACAUUGAGUUGAAAACAUAAUUUUGUAUUGGAUGAAAAAGACGAAUGUGGUCCUUCAGUAAUUAACUGAGUGCCACUGAUCCUUCUAACAGAGGGAAGCAUGUCCCAUCGAUAAACUAAGCUCAUGGGCAAUCAGUAACGCACAGAGUUAGUCAUGCUGAGAUGAUAUUUGACUAUGACUGAGAAAUCUCCACUUCAGACAAAGGCAAAUGCAUUUAUCACUUGUCAGUGCUCCGGUCUCCACACCCUUGCUAUCUCAGGGCACAUGUGUUUACUAUUACCUACUAGAUCUGUCUCUUAAAGUAUGGUCGUGCUGCCUGGCCAUUUCAUUUAUCCAGUAGUCCUUGGAUUGAUCAGUUUUUCCAGAUGAAAAAAAUAUAUGUACCAUGUUGGUCACAGAGGUUUCACAAAUCUAUUUCACAAAUAUAAUCGUCAGAUGAUGAUUUCCUCCAAAUCUCUACAAGUCCCCUAUCACCGUUAUUUCAAUAAAGGUGGCACAGGGACCGCAUUGCUCUGGCAGUUCCCACCAUCCCACACCCCGGCCCCCACUCCCACUAACAUUCCAGAAGCUAUAUCCCUUCACUUACAGGUUAUCACUGAUUUUUUUAAGUGUGCAUUUCUAGCUCUGACUGUUGGAUUGCAUUAGAAUCUCGAUCCACAUAAAUGGGAAAAAGCCAACCGGUAAUUAUG